This 497-nucleotide ribosomal RNA is filed under the name uncultured bacterium. RNAcentral's name for it is "partial 16S ribosomal RNA". It matches the Rfam family "Bacterial small subunit ribosomal RNA", at positions 28 to 507 of the family's 1533-position model. The record is from RNAcentral.
GACGAACGCUGGCGGCGUGCCUAAUACAUGCAAGUUGAGCGCUGAAGGUUGGUACUUGUACCGACUGGAUGAGCAGCGAACGGGUGAGUAACGCGUGGGGAAUCUGCCUUUGAGCGGGGGACAACAUUUGGAAACGAAUGCUAAUACCGCAUAAAAACUUUAAACACAAGUUUUAAGUUUGAAAGAUGCAAUUGCAUCACUCAAAGAUGAUCCCGCGUUGUAUUAGCUAGUUGGUGAGGUAAAGGCUCACCAAGGCGAUGAUACAUAGCCGACCUGAGAGGGUGAUCGGCCACAUUGGGACUGAGACACGGCCCAAACUCCUACGGGAGGCAGCGGUAGGGAAUCUUCGGCAAUGGACGAAAGUCUGACCGAGCAACGCCGCGUGAGUGAAGAAGGUUUUCGGAUCGUAAAACUCUGUUGGUAGAGAAGAACGUUGGUGAGAGUGGAAAGCUCAUCAAGUGACGGUAACUACCCAGAAAGGGACGGCUAACUACGUG